RNAcentral lists this long non-coding RNA (1143 nucleotides) under Monodelphis domestica (gray short-tailed opossum). RNAcentral describes it as "lncRNA (ENSMODG00000042814.1)". The record is from RNAcentral. Lineage: Eukaryota; Metazoa; Chordata; Mammalia; Didelphimorphia; Didelphidae.
GGAAGGCUUAUGUGAACUGAUGCAAAGUGAAGUGAGCAGAACCAGAACACUAUACCUACUAAUGAGAAUUAGAUUCCAGAAGUAAAAGCACAGAGUGAGGAGAAAGAUCAGAUCUCGACAGAUAUAUGACUGAAAAGAGCUUUGUACCCACCAAAAAAAGACAUCCAGACUUCACAAAGAUCCACCCAUAAAGGAGACCCACCAGACCAUGAGCACAGGAUUGGAGACGUCAGCCAUUGCUUCACUCUUCAUCUGGUUUUGGAGGUUCUCCACAGUAAAGAUAAGAGAACCUGAAGCCCCCGGAAGAAAGCUGAUUUGCCCAAGGUUACUCAGGCAGAAAAGGAGGAGGGGCAAAAAUAGAAAGAUGAGGAAAAGUAUGGGGAAGAGGAAGAAAGACAGAGAAGAAGUAGAGGAAGAAGAAAGAGGAGAGAAAGAAGAGAAGGAAUUACUUUUUAUUUACUUUACAAAUAUAUCAUAUUUAUUUUGAUAUAUAUUAUUUUCCCUCCACUGAAGUUUAAGUUCCUUCAGGACAUGGAUUGCUGAUUUUUUUUUUCUUUGAAUUCCCAAUGGCUAGAAGAGGUGUCCACCUAUGGUAAACACUUUAAUAAUGCUUAUGAUGAAUUAAAUUAAAUCAAACCCAGUCAACUUAGUUGCCUCCUAAAGCUGUUUGGAGCUCUGUGAAUAUCACUCAGGUACUUUGGUGGGCUUGUGAUCUCACUGAUACAGAUUCUUAGGGCUAGUACAAAGCAAAACAUUUAUACAAAGUGUUAUAAUGUACAAAGCACAACCAUGAUGUCUCAUUCUACAUGAUCCUCUUCUAUAUUCUCCUACAAAUUCUUCUCAAAAGUCCAAUCCAACUCACUGGCCACUUUCCUUGGAGUCUUUGGGAAGCAGUUACCUUUUCUCCGUAGUCCCUAAUUUUCACUAAAUGACUGUCCUACCUCCUUUUUCUAUCAUACUUGUCUUCAGUUCUAGUUUUUACAUGCAAAUCAUCAUUGUGUCAGAUUGUGGGUCUCUUUAUUGUUCUUUCUGUCCCAGCAAUUUUGCUUCUUUGCCAGUCACAGUGAUCUAUGAUUUACAACUUUGUGUCCUCACCAGAAGGCUAUUGCUAUUCAAUAAAUGAAUUUUAGUAGGAUCCUGCCA